Molecule: ribosomal RNA, 115 nt
Filed under: Chelonoidis abingdonii (Abingdon island giant tortoise)
Lineage: Eukaryota; Metazoa; Chordata; Testudines; Testudinidae
Source: RNAcentral
UUCUGAAGCCAUGACCACCUGGAGCUGUGGUUUAGCUUUCAGAAGCUAAACUGAGUUGGGUUUAGUUAGUAGUUGUAUGGGAGACCUCCAAGAAAAUCUCAGUGUGCUGUGGAAA